RNAcentral lists this long non-coding RNA (333 nucleotides) under Brassica napus (rape). Its description in RNAcentral is "long non-coding RNA (BNAP_LNC001284)". Lineage: Eukaryota; Viridiplantae; Streptophyta; Magnoliopsida; Brassicales; Brassicaceae. The record is from RNAcentral.
AUAAAAACACAAUUGGCUACACAUUUUUGAUAAAUUUAAAGUUACAUAGAUAUGUUAAACUAUCAUCUAUUAUGAAACAAAAACAAUCAUCUAAAACAUUACCUAUAUUGAAACGAAGGGAGUAUAUUUAAAAUGAUACAUAAUUGUAAAUGGGCAUCAACUUCAGAAGAAAAUAAAAAGUGACAUUUAUUGAAUUCAAAAAUGCAUUUUCUUAUAUAAAUACAUAUGUUAUAGUAUUCCUGCAACCAGAAAUGUAAUAUUAUUAAAAUAAAAAAUAAAAUUCAUUGUUAUAAUAUCUCCUCUUAAAUAUAUAAGUAUAUGUUCUUUAUUCAC